GUAGAUCGUAUGGAAAGGUGUGUAACAGUAAAACUGUAGCGUAAGCACCUGUGUAAGCUGAGGGACCUGAACGUUGGUCCAAAUUUUUGAGACAAGCCCCUGGGAUCCCAUAAAUGUGUCUCCAUUUGUGAACGAUAUGAAGGCAAAGUGAGGCUUUAGAAGGAGCGUAAUCGUAGUGAGUAAGAUUACUGAUACCUGAUACUGAAACGUCAGGGACCAGGCAGCCUGUUGGUCGUUGAAGGCAUGGUGAAUCUACUAAUUGGUGCAGGUCUAAGUAAUGAUAUGAAUAUAUUGGGUAGAAUUAUCUAACCCUUGAGAGUGGAGACAGUGGAAAGAAACAGGGAUAGGAAUAAGAGUCUCUACUGGUAAAGAAAAGCC
Pelobates cultripes (western spadefoot toad) is the source of this 378-nucleotide non-coding RNA. NCBI's taxonomy places the organism in Eukaryota, Metazoa, Chordata, Amphibia, Anura, Pelobatidae. The record is from the annotation of a GenBank genome assembly.